This 65-nucleotide transfer RNA is filed under the name Gampsocleis gratiosa gratiosa. Its description in RNAcentral is "tRNA-Met". The record is from RNAcentral. Lineage: Eukaryota; Metazoa; Arthropoda; Insecta; Orthoptera; Tettigoniidae.
AAAAAGGUAAGCUAAAUAGAAGCUAAUGGGUUCAUACCCCGUAAAUAGGAUCAUCCUCCUUUUUA